AGGUGUAUGCCUGAUUAAAGGGUUAAUUUGAUAGAUUAAAUUAUGUAAUUAAUUUA
Molecule: transfer RNA, 56 nt
Filed under: Harpactocrates apennicola
Lineage: Eukaryota; Metazoa; Arthropoda; Arachnida; Araneae; Dysderidae
Description: tRNA-Ile
Source: RNAcentral